GACGAACGCUGGCGGCGUGCCUAACACAUGCAAGUCGAGCGGUAAGGCCCUUUCGGGGGUACACGAGCGGCGAACGGGUGAGUAACACGUGGGUGACCUGCCCUCAGCUCUGGGAUAAGCCUGGGAAACUGGGUCUAAUACUGGAUAUGACUCCACGGUGCAUGUCGUGGGGUGGAAAGCCUUGUGCGGCUGAGGAUGGGCCCGCGGCCUAUCAGCUUGUUGGUGGGGUGAUGGCCUACCAAGGCGACGACGGGUAGCCGGCCUGAGAGGGCGACCGGCCACACUGGGACUGAGACACGGCCCAGACUCCUACGGGAGGCAGCAGUGGGGAAUCUUGCGCAAUGGGCGAAAGCCUGACGCAGCGACGCCGCGUGAGGGAUGACGGCCUCGGUUGUAAC
Molecule: ribosomal RNA, 398 nt
Filed under: uncultured bacterium
Lineage: Bacteria
Description: bacterial SSU rRNA
Rfam family: Bacterial small subunit ribosomal RNA
Source: RNAcentral